CUUCAACCGUUAAUCAAUUUCAAGGUUUCAACUAAGUCCAAUAAAAAUCAAGGAAUUCUUGUUUCACCUGGUUCUAAUUCGUCUUGGGAAGGUUACGACGAGGUUAGAUCCAAACAUCGUAACGAUCCAGCAGUGAUGAAUAACCUACGUGAGAAAUUGAAGUCGAAAGCUACAGUUAAACAUGCACCCAAAGAAAUAGACAACAAGAUUGAAGGGGUUACAACACACCCUAAUCUCCCAAAGGGAAUGAAAUACGUCAUCAAGAAGAUCCCGUCCCA
Long non-coding RNA from Solanum dulcamara, 278 nucleotides. RefSeq lists it as uncharacterized. The record is from RefSeq and is a predicted model, not a curated record. The transcript has 3 exons. Lineage: Eukaryota; Viridiplantae; Streptophyta; Magnoliopsida; Solanales; Solanaceae.